UGAAUAUAACUUGCAUUUGUUCUUUCCUUGGGUGAGGAUAACGCUUUUUGGAUUCUCUAGUGCGGCAUGAUACAUAGCAUAUAUUUAUAUUUUUUUUUGGUUCAGUUCAAGGCACCAAGAAAGGUACACAACAAAGAGUUGCAAUCAAAAUUUGACUAAACAUGUGAUUUUUUUUUUCGCAUUCCAAGAUGCAUAUCAAAUUGGCUCUGUAUCGUGUAUACAUCCUGCCCUGCUCAAGUAACAAGUCGUAACCAUAACUUUGUUCCAAAACCACCCCCACUAGUAGAAUCAUUCAGCUGGCAUUUACUACCUAUCAAGUCUCUGAUCUUUUUUUAGAAGAAAGUCUUCUGUCUUUUGAAAAUAUAAAGUCUCUGAUAUCUGUACCAUGUACCCCUUAUAUAUCAACUGACCAUACAAGUUCAAAUAUAUACUCAC
RNAcentral lists this long non-coding RNA (435 nucleotides) under Setaria viridis. Its description in RNAcentral is "long non-coding RNA (SVIR_LNC010082)". The record is from RNAcentral. Lineage: Eukaryota; Viridiplantae; Streptophyta; Magnoliopsida; Poales; Poaceae.